Molecule: long non-coding RNA, 1907 nt
Organism: Ornithorhynchus anatinus (platypus)
Lineage: Eukaryota; Metazoa; Chordata; Mammalia; Monotremata; Ornithorhynchidae
Exons: 2
Source: RefSeq, a predicted model, not a curated record
UCACUGCAUGAUGCCUUCGCUGUGGUUCAGAUUACACUGCUGAAAACCAGGGGACAGAGUGCAGAUGCUCUCCAUCAGAUCAGCGCAGGAGGAAGCCGGACCUGCCGGGACUCCCACAGCCGCAGUUUGGAUGACAUCCGUCUUGGCUGGUGCCAGGGCCAACUCUAGCCCCCAAGCCCCACCCUGGCCUCCCCCGCCUCCCACAGCUACACCUUCGGCUGUGUUCCAGAGGGCAAAGCGCUCACCUCCAGCCCUGCCCACCAGCUGGCAGGGGGUGAGACCCAAGGGGACCUGUACAGGAGGAGGUCUGGCCACUGCAUGUCCCUGAGCCUCCUGGGGGAUGACCAGCUCCUGGAGGAAUUUGCCGUGUAGGUAGAGAGGUGCUGGGGCUACCUCCUACUCUGUGCUGGCGUCCCUCUUCCUUCCGCCUCCCUGCCCCAUGGGGAUCCCACCAGGGCCCAGACAGACCCUACCCCAUCUCUGGCCCGGUUACCUGCCUCCAGUCACUUUGGUGUGUGACACAGCCAGUGGGCCAUUCCAGGGAGUUUGGUGGCUGGGAGGUUCAUGUUCGGGUGUGGCCUGUCACACCUGAGUGGGAUGGAAGAACCCCAUUAUCCCAGACAUGCUUGACCACUGUCUGAGUUUCUGCAUCUUCUGUUGGGAUAACCAGCCAGUUUCCAGAUGCUAAACUGGAUAUGGGGAAGAAUCCCAGGAAUCCCUUCCAGCUGCACCUUUCAGGAAGGUGGUGCCGUGUGUUGGGGUGAUGAUGUGGGGGGGGGCAGAUUGGUGCUCGAUAUUGACCUCUCCCUCGCCCCCCCACCAAGAACUCUAGGUCUCAUCCUGCCUUUUUUGGAAGGGGGUGGAGUUGCCCAGUUACCCUUUUUAUGUGAUAUGCCCAGUUCUGCCAUUCUGGAACAGGGGGUCAUAGGGUCCCUUCCUAGCAGUAUAUCUUCAGAAUCUGGGGCUUGGGGGACCAGCUGAGAUGGCCCCUCGGUCCUGAGAGCAGAGGGGUCUCCGGGGAGGCACCAGAGUCCCUUCUGGGCAGAGGAGUUGGCUCUACUACCCUCCUUCCUCCAGCCUAUUGACUUCUCCUCCCUUUCAGGACCCAGUAUUCCCUUUCCCAGUUGUUCCUAGGGCUGCCCAGUUAUGGGGUUCCUUGUCUCGAACAUUGCUGGUGGGCCAGUGGGGGGGUACCCCCUCGCUUUUCCCCCCACCCCAGGAUGACCAUCCCUCUCCUCCACGCCCCAGCCCACUAGGGCUGCCGAGAAAGCCAGCGUAGUACGGAUGGGGCUGUGCUCUAGGACUCUCUGGUGUUGCAGAGAAGGAUGAGGAGGAAGGCUUCAGUCACUAUCCCCAUGGGAUUCCCAGGACACCUUGGAUGCAGAGGGGGAAGGGAUGGACUCCGUCCUUGUGGACAUCUGCCACUCCCUGCCCCAAGCAGCCAACUUUCUGCUCGCGAGGAUGUCCCAGUCCCACUGCAGAAAGUCUUGGCUCCUGCCCACGGUUACAAGCCCACACCUCAUCCUCAAUGACCAGCAGCGGGCAGGGGCAACGCUGCCCAGACCUUUCCCCCUUCUCCCACUCCCCUGGCCAUUCUAUAGGGAAUUAUUUGAGCACCUCCUCCUCCCCUGAGAAGAGCCCACGGACCCCAAGCAGACCACCUUGCUUGCCAAAAUGGCCCCCAGCCCCCAGACCACCCUCACAAUCUUCCUAGAUCAGGCCAGAAGGGUGGACAAGGCCAGCUACCACCCUGAUAUUCGAUCUCCAUCCCCUUGGGAAACAGUGGUCCAGGCUGGGGCUCCAGUGGUCCACGGCCUCUCCCUCAACCGCCAGUCGAAAUGUCACGUGCCCCCAGAGCCUGAAGCUACUGGUAACAGCUUCGGUCAAACCUUGGCUUCGGUCAAAGG